UAGAGUUUGAUCCUGGCUCAGAUUGAACGCUGGCGGCAGGCCUAACACAUGCAAGUCGAGCGGAUGAGGGGUGCUUGCACUCUGAUUCAGCGGCGGACGGGUGAGUAAUGCCUAGGAAUCUGCCCGAUAGUGGGGGACAACGUUUCGAAAGGAACGCUAAUACCGCAUACGUCCUACGGGAGAAAGUGGGGGAUCUUCGGACCUCACGCUAUCGGAUGAGCCUAGGUCGGAUUAGCUAGUUGGUGAGGUAAUGGCUCACCAAGGCGACGAUCCGUAACUGGUCUGAGAGGAUGAUCAGUCACACUGGAACUGAGACACGGUCCAGACUCCUACGGGAGGCAGCAGUGGGGAAUAUUGGACAAUGGGCGAAAGCCUGAUCCAGCCAUGCCGCGUGUGUGAAAAAGGUCUUCGGAUUGAAAAGCAUUUUAAUUGGGAGGAAG
Molecule: ribosomal RNA, 440 nt
Filed under: uncultured Pseudomonas sp.
Lineage: Bacteria; Pseudomonadati; Pseudomonadota; Gammaproteobacteria; Pseudomonadales; Pseudomonadaceae
Description: bacterial SSU rRNA
Rfam family: Bacterial small subunit ribosomal RNA
Source: RNAcentral